Molecule: ribosomal RNA, 253 nt
Filed under: uncultured bacterium
Lineage: Bacteria
Description: partial 16S ribosomal RNA
Rfam family: Bacterial small subunit ribosomal RNA
Source: RNAcentral
UACGUAGGGUGCGAGCGUUAAUCGGAAUUACUGGGCGUAAAGCGUGCGUAGGCGGUUCGCUGUGUCCGAUGUGAAAGCCCCGGGCUUAACCUGGGAAUGGCAUUGGAAACUGGCGGGCUUGAGUGCGGCAGAGGGGGGUGGAAUUCCCGGUGUAGCGGUGAAAUGCGCAGAUAUCGGGAGGAACACCAGUAGCGAAGGCGGCUCGCUGGGCCACACCUGACGCUGAGACGCGAAAGCUAGGGGAGCGAACAGG